Molecule: ribosomal RNA, 441 nt
Filed under: uncultured bacterium
Lineage: Bacteria
Description: partial 16S ribosomal RNA
Rfam family: Bacterial small subunit ribosomal RNA
Source: RNAcentral
CCUACGGGUGGCAGCAGUCGAGAAUCAUUCACAAUGGGGGAAACCCUGAUGGUGCGACGCCGCGUGGGUGAAGGAGCGUUUCGGCGCGUAAAGCUCUAUCGGCAGGGAAGAAGAAGGACGGUACCUGACUAAGAAGCCCCGGUUAACUACGUGCCAGCAGCCGCGGUAAUACGUAGGGGGCAAGCGUUAUCCGGGUUUACUGGGUGUAAAGGGGGCGCAGACGGCAGCGCAAGCCAGGAGUGAAAGCCCGGGGCCCAACCCCGGGACUGCUCUUGGAACUGCGCGGCUGGAGUGCAGGAGGGGCAGGCGGAAUUCCUGGUGUAGCGGUGAAAUGCGUAGAUAUCAGGAGGAACACCGGUGGCGAAGGCGGCCUGCUGGACUGCGACUGACGUUGAGGCCCGAAAGCGUGGGGAGCAAACAGGAUUAGAUACCCGGGUAGUC